Molecule: ribosomal RNA, 253 nt
Filed under: uncultured bacterium
Lineage: Bacteria
Description: partial 16S ribosomal RNA
Rfam family: Bacterial small subunit ribosomal RNA
Source: RNAcentral
UACGUAGGGUCCAAGCGUUAUCCGGAAUUACUGGGCGUAAAGAGUGCGUAGGCGGUUUUUUAAGUUAGAUGUUAAAUCUGCAGGCUCAACUUGCAGGCUGCAUCUAAUACUGGAAGACUUGAGAGUGGAAGAGGUAAGCGGAAUUUCCGGUGGAGCGGUAAAAUGCGUAGAUAUCGGAAAGAACACCAAUGGCGAAGGCAGCUUACUGGGCCACUUCUGACGCUGAGGCACGAAAGCGUGGGGAGCGAUCGGG